GAUAAGGCCAAGCUCUUCUCAGUGGUGUGUAGUGAUAGGACAAGGAGUAAUGGCCUAAACCUUGAGCACAGAAAGUUCCAUACAAACAUUCAGGCAAACUUCAUUACAAUCAGAGUGACAGAGCACUGGAACAGGCUGUCCAGAGAGGUGAUGGAGUCUUCUGUGGAAAUAUUCAAGACCCACCUGGGCAUGUAAAUGUGACUUACAAUAAGAACCUGCAUUAGCAAGGAGGUUGGACUAAAUGACCUCUUGAGGUCCCUUCCAACACCUGCAGUUCUGGGAUUCUGUGACCCUGUGCUAACAAUAUUCAAAAAUAUGUGUUGGAUUUUGACCAAUCAAAUAAAAAUACAUAUGUAACUGCUCUGAAAAAGAUAGAAAGCAAAUUAAAACAACAAAAACCUCCUCACCUUUUGCAGUAACCUCUGGAACUGAAUUUUUCAUCUGCUUGCUAAUUUUUUUGUUUGCUAAUGUGCAUCAAAGAGGAUACUGAAAACUUGCCCGAAGGUACUUCUAGGAUGUUUGUGGCCCAUCUAUUUUGGUUUUCCAUGUACCUCUGCUUCUACAUGACCUGAAUUCACAUGUAAGCUUAGCAUUGUGGGUCCAAUUUAUUUAUUAUUAUUAUUAUUAUUUUUUGUUGU
This 638-nucleotide long non-coding RNA is filed under the name Coturnix japonica (Japanese quail). RNAcentral's name for it is "lncRNA (ENSCJPG00005021490.1)". The record is from RNAcentral. Lineage: Eukaryota; Metazoa; Chordata; Aves; Galliformes; Phasianidae.